RNAcentral lists this long non-coding RNA (12536 nucleotides) under Ananas comosus (pineapple). RNAcentral's name for it is "long non-coding RNA (ACOM_LNC021788)". Lineage: Eukaryota; Viridiplantae; Streptophyta; Magnoliopsida; Poales; Bromeliaceae. The record is from RNAcentral.
UCCUGCAAGAGGCUCUGGUGCUUGAACCUGGCCCUGGCCUCCUCCCCACCUGGGAACGAAGCGGAGGAUGGAGCGGACUCCAUGGCAACCCACCUCACCCUCUUCAUCUCCACCCUCAAAUCUCAAGAGAAACAAGGAGAGAGAGAGGGAGAGACAAAAAAAAGAUGAAGAGACCAAGAGAGAGAGAGAGAGAGAGNGGUAAAAACAGUACCCAAGAUCUCACCUUUAGCAACUCCACAUAAUCCUGCAAGAGGCUCUGGUGCUUGAACCUGGCCCUGGCCUCCUCCCCACCUGGGAACGAAGCGGAGGAUGGAGCGGACUCCAUGGCAACCCACCUCACCCUCUUCAUCUCCACCCUCAAAUCUCAAGAGAAACAAGGAGAGAGAGAGGGAGAGACAAAAAAAAGAUGAAGAGACCAAGAGAGAGAGAGAGAGAGAGGGAGAGAGGGGGGCAAUAAAAAGGCCACCUUGUGAAGGGGGUGGUGAGAUAAUGGAGGAAAUAAAGGUGGGGGUGGGGGGGGGAGGUGAGGAGUUCCCUUGCCCACCACCCCCCCCCCUUCUCUCUCUCUCUCUCUCUCUCUCUCUCUCUCUGACCCUGACCCAAGAAAAACCCAAAAAGCCCCAUAUUAAUCAGGUACAGGAAACUGGGUAGUAGUAGUAGGAGUAGGAGUAGUAGUCCUGGGUUAGAGAGAGAGAGAGAGAGAGAGAGAGAGUGAGUGUUUGUUGUGUGUGUCUCUGUUUCUCUCCUCCUAGGUGAAGAGGAGAGGGGGUGAAGAGUUUUCUGGGUCUCCAGGGGGGCAUUUCUGGGAACUUGCGCAGUAGUUUUGUAGAGAGAGAGAGAGAGAGAGAGAGAGAGAGAGAGGUUUGGUUGGGUGAUGAUGCAUGACUACUGAAGACACCUACAUCCAUCUUUCUUUCUUUCCAUAUACCUCCCUCUUUCCUUGUAUUUCUCCAUACACACACACACUCUCUCUCUCUCUCUCUCUCUCCCUCUUUCCCCAACACAGACCACAAUUAGUCUCCCCCUUCACAUUUCUAUGCACAAACUCCUGGUCCAUGUAGAAAAAAGAUUGGUCAGUAAUAAAGAGAUGUAGAGAGAGAGAGAGAGAGAGAGAGAGAGAGAGAGGGGUUGGACAUGGACUCCACCUUGGAGGGUAGGGAUUCUCUCUCUCUCUAUCUCUCUCUCUCUCUCUCUCUCUCUCUCUUUUUCUUUAUUCCUCACCAGUCACUCACCUCCCUCCUUUCUCUCUCUCCAGUCUCACCUAUUCCUUGGCUGUCUGCUUUAGAGAGAGAAAGAGACAGAUAGAUGUGUUUUUAGAGAGAGAGAGAGAGAGAGAGUGUGUGUGUGUGUGUUUGUGUGUAUAGGGGGGUUAUUUUGAAUGGCUGCUAUGGUCUUCUGAUGUUGCAGUUGUUGUUGCUGUUGUUGUUGUUGUUGCCUUGCAGCUUGCAAGGAGGCCCUUAUAAUAGUGGGAGAUGGUGGUGGGAGGGGUCUAUUUUUCCAUUCAUUAAUUGAUAGCUGAAUUUACCAAAAUGCCCCUCGCUUUUUUGUCCCCCAAUGGCUACUUCUUCUUUAUUAUUAUUAUUAUUAUUAUUAUUAUUAAUGCCCUACUUGCCUCAUUACUAGAUUAAAAUGCCUUUACCUUUCUUGCAAUGUAAAGAAGUUCCAGGGAAUGGACUUCUUCCACUCCUUCCCCUUGUUGACAUGGCAAAGUUUUAUGCCUUCCCUGCUGCAAGUCAUCUGGUUUCAUCUGUCACAUUUGUCAAACCUACUGUUCACCCCCCCCAAAAAACAACAAGCUUUAAAAAUAUGCAUUUAUUUUUUACUUUUUAAUAAUUUGUUUUUUUUUAAAAAAAAAACCCUCCUUUGAACAAGAAUUCCAUGCACAGCAAACCUAGGCAUGAAUUUUCUACAUACUUCAUGUGUGACCUCCUCUUUGUUUUUAUAUUUUUUUUUAACUUUAAAUUUCAAAUACACUGAUGAGAGACUGACAUGGUGGAUUGGAUUAGAUCUGGGCACUAAUUUCUACAACAAUGGUGGGGUUCUUCUUGCAUGUGUUUGAUCUAUUCCACAAUUCACAUUAGGCCUAGUAAGGAAUCUUGUGUGGUGAAAUUGUCUAUAUGGGUCCUUUUUAUUGGAAUGGACCACCAAAGAUGGGGAUAAUAGUUGUCAUCUAGUCAUGCUGUGACUGCCUAAGAAAAAAGAUGGGAAUGGGCCCAUGACACUGUUGGAAUUAUUAUUAUUGUCAUAAUUCAUCAAUUUACAUUAUUUGUUUUUUUUUAUUUCCCUAGUUUUCUAGAAACCUCUUGUGCAUAAUGGUAAUAAUAAUAACAUUCAAAAAUUACUAGUAGGUGUCUAUCUUAGGCUUCGUUUGAGAUUGCGGGACGGUGAGAAAGUAUGAUGAAAAAAUAUCCUACUUGUUUCCGUAUGUAAUAUUGCAUUCCGCAUAUCACAAUGAGUUAGUUACAAUAUAUUUUCUACAGUCUAAUCGAAGAACACAGAAGUAUAUCGCUAUAUGUUUUUAUCCCAAUUUCAUCAAAGCGCUCUUUGAAGAAGCACAUGGCUAUUCGAAUAAGCAUUUACAAUUUCUGGAUUAAAUUUUUUUUUCGACAUAUUUCAUUUAAGUAGGCAUUAGAGUUCGCUUUUGAGCUUGAUUAGAAACUUGAUUUAGCUUUUUAUCAAAGUAAAAAUUAUGAAUAUUUAUUAGCUAAUGUUAUUAAGAAAUCCAGGCAUAAAGUAGCCCUGGGGCACAAACCAGAGUUUGUUAUGUCAAGCCCAUCUUGGGCUAUAUUGUGCAAAUAUGGGUUUGGGCUAAUAUUGUUGGGCUCGAUCCAACCGAUUACCUAAAAGUCGGCACAGUAUUUCAUUCGUAAGAGAAGCCAACGCCGCAUAAUCCGGCGACGUAUUUCACUCGUAACAGAAUCCAGCGCCGAGUUUUACAUAACUCAAACAGUUAACCAAAGUCAGCGGCGAAUUUCACUCAUAGCAAAAUCCAACGCCGCUAUUUUAUAUUUACUCUCUUAACUCUCCCACAACCUCACCAUUCCCCCUUCCAUGGCGAUGGCGAUGGCGAUCGCGGCGAUCGUAUCCCGAAGCCGAGCUCUCCUCCCCCUUCUCCUUUCCCCUUCUCCUCUUCCUCCUCCUCUCAAUCUCCUCCACCUCCCCUUUUCCUCCUCUUCCUCUUCCUCUUCCUCUUCCUCCUCCUCCGCCCCUUCUCCCUCUUUCCCCUUCAAACCCACCAUCCCCACCUCCCCCGACCCCGAAACCAGCGACUUCGAGCGCGAGCCCGACGACGCCCCCUCCGACCCCGACGGCUCCGACCUCCCCGAGUUCCUCCAACUCCUAUCCCACGCCAAAUCCCUCUCCUCCUCGCACAAGGACGCGCUUGCCCUACUGCGGUCCUCGUCGGGCGUGGAGCGAUCUAGGGCUUUGGUCCGCCGCGCCCUGUGGGACCUGAGGUGGGAUUGGGAGUCGGCGAUGCUGGCUCUGCGGUGGGGGGAGGAGUGUGUGUUGGACUGCCCCGCGGCGUGGCACCUGGCGAUAUGGGCGAUGGGUAAGCAGGGGAGGUUCGACAUGGCGUGGUCCGUGGUGCGGAGGAUGCACAAGAGGUCCAUCCUUACGCAGCGGGCGAUGGUGAUCAUGAUGGAAAGGUGAAUGCUGUUCUAGUUUUUGAGCAUCGUAGUAAAUUGGGCAUUUAUCAAAGGAAUAAUCUUUCUUCUACUUGGAUAUGUUCUCACUUCAUUGUUAUGCUAAAUGCUUCAAUUAGUAUAUGAAAUAGUUCUAUGUGAUUCAUAGUUAUCAUGUGCGUGGUGGUGGGAGUUAUACUCAAAGCUGUGACUACUAAACUUUGAAACAAAACGGUAGAUCAUGAUAUAGUGAUUAUGAUGGACUAGUGAUUGCUUUACUAGGUUUCAGCAUGGUAGUAAAUUGGUUAUUUACAAAAAAGUAUUGCAUUUUUUAAAAAUUUUGGAUAUGUUCUGUCACCGUAGUUAUGGCUGCUUUCUUCAACUCGUAUAUGGAGUUCUCUCUUUGAUUCAUAGUUAACAUGUGAAAAGUGGGACUUUUGAAGUUAUAGUGUAUAUAUACAAGUCUACAUUACAACAAGAAAAAAAAAUGGUGUUAGGAAUCACUCUCGAAUGCUUAUGUUUCUCGGGACUACUUAAAUGUUGAAACAAAAGAAUUGAGAGCAUCUGAAGGUAUCUCUUCAUGGUCCAUUUCUGAUUGAAGUAGAGAGAUUAAACUUCUGCCUUGUUUUUAUUAGCACAGCUCAAAAUUAAGUAGUUCUCUAAAUAGGGUGCAAUUCUUUUCUGUGCCUUGCAAUAUCUGAAUUUUUCAUUAUCUGUAGGUUUGAAAAACUUUUUCUCGUUAAAUCGUCUUUUCAUCAGAAGCAGCUGCCAAAUUUGGCUUUAUAUGUAUCCCAUUUAGUGAUCUUUUCUACUUUCUUUUCCUCAUUGUUGCCAGAUAAACAGUUUUUUUCUGGGAAACUUUGAAUUUAUAUGCUUUUAUUCAUACGGAGGUAUCUCCUGCGAAAUUUCAGGUAUGCAGCUGCUAAUGAACCUGGAAAAGCAACAAAAACAUUCCAUGCAAUGGAGAAGUUUAAAAUAAGCGCUGACUUAACCGCAUUUUACUCCCUCCUUCGUGCUCUUUGCAAGAACAAGAAUGUUGAGGAGGCCGAAGAAUUGCUUCUUGUCAAUAAGAAAUUUUUCCCUCUCUCUGCAGAAAGUUUCAAUAUAAUACUCGACGGAUGGUGUAAUAUAAUGACAGAUAUAACUGAAGCAAAGAGAGUUUGGAGAGAGACGGCAAGUUGCUGCAUCACCCCAGAUGGUACUUCUUACACCCAUAUGAUUCGUUGCUUCUCAAAAGUUGGCAACCUCUUCGAUUCCUUAAGGCUUUAUGACGAAAUGAAAAAGAGAGGCUGGACUCCUGAUUUGACGGUCUACAAUUCUCUUGUUUAUGUGCUAACUGGAGAAAAUUGCUUGAAGGAUGCGCAAAAUAUAUUCAGUAAAAUUUUGGAUGAGGGACUGCGACCAACUGUAGAAACAUUCAAUUGUAUGAUAUAUCCACUGUGUGAAAGUCACAAGCUGGAGGAAGCGCAAAUGGUAAUGGAGGACAUGAUGGUGAAGGGCAUCAGUCCGGACAUCGAAACUUACCAUGCCUUCAUAAAGGAAGAGGGUAUUGACGAGACAUUGAAAAUAUUGAGAAGAAUGAGAGAUGCUCAUUGUGGCCCUAGUAAAUAUACAUUUCUUUUGCUUUUUGAUAAGUAUUUUGGAUUGAACGAAUCUGAAAAUGCAUUAAGAAUGUGGAGCGAAAUGAGGAAAUAUGGGAUUGAUCCCGACUCCUCACACUACAUUGCAUUGGUGGAAGGUUUGGUGAAACAUGGAUGGAUGCCGAAAGCUCUACAGUUUUACAAUGAGAUGAAGGACAGGGGGUUUAUUCCUGAUCCUAAACUUGAGAAAGUCUUUAAGGAAUUCAUAGAAAAUAAUAAAGAUCACUGGGGAAGAGUUGGUAAAGAUUACAUCAUUUCACAGCAUGGAAAACAUAAUGCUCUAAGAGGAGCAGCAGUUUAAUGACCGGUCGGGUAGAUUAGUUUUCUUAUGAGCACUUCUUGUGAUUGGUCUAUUUGGGGGCAUCAUAUAAAAGAGAGGAUGAAACGAAAAACUGUUGGUUUAGAGGGGAAAUGUCAAGUUGCCGUGAAUCAGAAUGCAUCCUUGCUGCUAUCUGAAACAUUCCAGUGUGGAAAAAGAUUUCCACAGUAAUUCUAAGGUACAUAUGCAUACUUUCGGAUCAUCUUACUUGUAUUAAUGGGUUGUUUAAAGUAUGAUAAAAACUUAUAUAGGUUCUUUCCAUAUUUUUCACAUUUUGAACAUCAUGUUGAGUUUCCAUUUGUACAUUAUGUCACAGUCGUUUAUAAUCUGUUUUAAGGAUGCUUAAAAGCGGACAUGCUCUUUACAUUUGAAAUUUGAGAUAAUUUCAUUAUGUUUAUCUUUUCUUCCAAGCUAUCUUUCAUUACUGUGAUAUAUCAUUAGAUUCGUACCACUUAGGCGAAAAAGGAAUAAUCAAGUUAUUAUUGUUUCAAGUCUAGAUAGAGUAAGUUUCAUAUGGUUUGCAGGGUCUUAUUAGUCUUAAAUGUUCAUGUCUUAUAUAUUUGCCUGAUUGUUGUCUUGUAUAACUUGGUAACAGGAUCAGAUUAACCUUGACUUGAUUAGUAAAUUGAUACCAAAUCUCUCAUAUUGGGUGAUGCAUGUAUCUAGCAAUGUACUAGAACCAAAUAGCAAACUUUGUUGCCGUAAAUUUCACCUGCAUUGUUUUUCUUUUCUUGCUGAAUUAUCUUAUAUUAAUUCUUGAUUGGGAUUUUGGUUCUCUCUUUCAGUUCAAGAAAGUAGCAACUUUGAUUAAACCCAAUUUUCUCCCUGCAUAUUAUGACUUUUUUUUAAAAAAAUUCAUCAACAGGUUGAGUUGAUGAACAUAAUUGAUGAUGAUCUUUUGGCCUUCAUACAAAAUGCUCAUGGUGCUGAAUCACAUGGAGUUUUCUGUGGUUUUUCGAGGCUAUUGGGCAUUUUAAGGAACCAGAAACAAUGAGAUCUAUCACUUAAACUUGUACAGCUUUGCUGCUGAUCAAGAAACACAGGUAAAGGCUUUUAACGAAAUAAUGUUUAUGAUGUGAGUGCAGCACGAGGUAAAUCGUGUUAUUGUGGACAAGGUUUUAAAUACCCGUCGGUACGGACUGUAUCCACGUAUCGUACCGUGCCAACAAGAUACCUAUACGAUACAGAUUACGUGCCGAUGGCACAGCUCAAAAUUUUCUAUUCUUUAAAUUAGUGAGUGAUUUUCUCAAUAAAGUUCAAAAGAUGUGAUAAAAAGACAUAAUAAAUUGUUAGAAUAUUUUGUUGCUAAAGAAAAUAAAUAUUUCAUGCUAUUAUGUGUCGGCACACAAAAUUUUUUUUGACCGGCACUCAUCGGCACGGUUCGACACGCACCGUGUCGUACCGUACCGACAAGUUUCCUGCAUGAUUCCGUACUACGGCAUUUAAAUUCUUGAUUGUGGACAUAAAAUUCUUCGUAUGAUCAUCAAGUUCUAAUUAUUUCACUAAUAAUGAGAUAAUCCCCUUUUGAAUAAUUGAAUUGAAUGAAUCUGAAAGUUUAGAUGAUUAUGUUGUGGGUCAACAACCUUUUUUAAGUUCUUUUUUCAUCCUUUGUUUAGAAAUGUGCUAUUUAUACACUCUUUUUGAAAUGCAAAUCAUACGUUCCAUCUUUUUAUAUACAAAUUUUUUCAGGACUCAAAUCAAUGUAACUAGUAAAAAAAUGUUACCAUUUUUACCUACUUUAACGAAUAUGAGUAGCAUUGCUUGUUUGCUUUUUUUUUUUUUUUUUUUAUAAUUACACGAGUUAUUCCUUCUCUGAAUUAGGUAAAAUUUAUGCCCAACUUUUUUUAUUAUAUUUUAUCUACGUAGAUAGAGAAAUGUAGAUCUAUGGACACCUCGUUUAUACUCAUUUCCAUCUACAAACACGUGGCACGCGUUAAAGUGGUCGACCACGUACGUGUUCCCAUCUCCAUGCACGCGCUCCUCUCCACGUGCCACCUCACCUCCCUUCACCAUUUCACUUUACAAACCAGUUUUUUUUGGCUAAAAAAAUAACAUAAAAAAGGAAACAGCACAGCAGCAGCUGCACUUAGAAAAGACCAGCAGUAGUGCCUGUAGUAGCAGCAGUAGAAGAAGAUCAUCAAAUAGAUACAGGAAAAGGCAAUACAUGCACGCUGAGAGAAUAUGAGUAAGGAGGAGUGGCGUCGUAACGCUGACACGCACAAGAUGAGCUCUGAGGAGGUGAAGGCGGCGGGGGUGGAGGCGUCGAAGCGGCCGCCCCACCCGGGCCAGAAGCCCGGGGAGGUGCUGCACCAGCGUCGGGCCCUGCCGUACAGUCCCGCUACGAUGGCGAUCGCUGGGUUUGCCAUCGUCGGCACCAUCGGGUACUUCACGCUCUACUACAAGUCGAAGCCCGGGACGUCGCCCACCGACGUCGUCAAGGUCACCACCACUCCUGAUUCGCUGCCCAGCAGCGCCGGCGCCGAUAAGGCGGAGACGGAGCGCAAGGGAAAGUAGGAGGUAGGUUGGGGGUUUUUUUUAAAAAAAAAGAAAUUAGAGGGAAAUAAUGGAGUUUCAUGCAUGGUUUUUGUCUAUGUAUAAUUACAAAUAAGAAUUAAUUAUGUUUCCAUUAUAAAUUCCACCCUCUUUAAGUUUUACACAAAACUUCGCUUUAGUUAAUUCUUAGUAUGUGAUGGUUGUGACGUUUGCUUAAAUAUUUAGGAAUUUGAUUUGGCUUAAUUUGCAUUUAUGUUAAGGGAUCUAUACCAUUUGGAGCAUUUAAAAAUUAAAUUUUAAAUUUUUUCGACAUUAUUAACCUAAUGAUCAAAGAAUUUUAAAAUUUAUAAUUUUAAUAAUCAAUAUGAGGCGUUUGACGGCAUAAAUAUAUUCAAAUCAAUUGAAUUUUAAUUAGAAAAUUUUUUAAAUUAUUUAAAAUAAGAUACAUACUCUUGAUCUUGAUUAUAAAAUUUUUAUCAUCACUUAUUAAAAGAUAUUUCUUGUCAGCCGUUCAUUUUUUUGUCCAUCAAUGGAUAAGAGAACAAUAUUGAAAAAGCAUCAAAAUUGGUUUUUACAUUCUUCAAGUAGUAUAGAUCAUAUUCAACGGUGCGGAUCGUUGAUUUGGAGAUUUCAUCGUUGAAAAUAAAUAAGUGACAAUAAAAUCCGUCUGCUACUAAUAGUAUUCUAGCUCAUAUAUCUCUCUCUCUCUCUCUCUCUCUCUCUCUCUCUAUAUAUAUAUAUAUAUAUAUAUAUAUANCAAAAUUGGUUUUUACAUUCUUCAAGUAGUAUAGAUCAUAUUCAACGGUGCGGAUCGUUGAUUUGGAGAUUUCAUCGUUGAAAAUAAAUAAGUGACAAUAAAAUCCGUCUGCUACUAAUAGUAUUCUAGCUCAUAUAUCUCUCUCUCUCUCUCUCUCUCUCUCUCUCUCUAUAUAUAUAUAUAUAUAUAUAUAUAUAUAUAUAUAUAUAUAUAUAUAUAUCUAACUAGAUUAGAAUACUAUUAAUAGCAUCAAAUCAUUUGUGCUAUUAGGUUUUCGACUCUUGGAUGAAAUGAUAUUAGGAUGAUAGAUUCCUAAGAUUGAGUGAGUGGUUGGUUGAAUAAUAUGAUUUAACAGGUGAAAAUUAUCGAAGAAUAGAUCUAAUGAUAGAAAAUUCAAUAGUACCAACAACUUGGUACUAUCAAAAGUAUAGCAGUCGGACUCUCUCUCUCUCUCUCUCUCUCUCUCUCUCUCUCUCUCUAUAUAUAUAUAUAUAUAUAGUUUUGCUAGAAUAUUAUCGGUAGUAAACGAUUCGAUUUACUACCGAUUUGUUUUCGAUGAUAAAGCUUCUAAAUUGACAAUCGGCACCGUUAAACAUGAUCUAAACAAUUUAAAUUAUCUGAAAAUUAAAUUUCAUGUAUUUUCAAUAUUAUUCUAUUUUCCAUCAAGUGAACAGAAAAAUGAAUGACUGAAAAUAAAUAUUCUUCAAAAAGUGAUGAUAUAAUUUCUGUAUUUACGAUCUAGAGUCUAGAUCUUGUUUUAAAUAGUUUAAAUUUUUUUUAAAAAAAAUAUAGUUGAUUUGAACUCUUUUAUAUCGUUAAACGAGCAAACGUACCAUAUCGGUCAUUAAAAUUAUAAAUUUUAUGACCUUUUGAUCGUUUAGUUAGUGAUGUCAAAAAUCAUGAAAUUUAAUUUAUAAAUAAUAUAAAUGGUCUAGAUCACGUUUAUCGAUUUGGAAGCUCUAUCAUUAAAAGUAAAUCGAUAGUAAAUCGAGCCGUUUACUAUCGAUAGUAUUCCAGUAACGCGCGCGCUCUCUCUCUCUCUCUAUAUAUAUAUAUAGUUUCAGAGACUCUCUCUCUCUCUCUCUCCCCCACUCCUUCAUAUAUAUAUAUAUAUAUAUAUAUAUAUAUAUAUAUAUAUAUAUAUAUAUAUAUACUUUUAUAAGUAUCACCAUCACGGUGCUAUUAGGUUUUAAGCCAUUAGAUCUACUUUUUGAUUAUUAAUAGCCCUUGGAUUAAACACUAUUCCACCUACCACCACCUACUCACCUCGUCUCAUACCUCACAUCUCUUCAUCCAAAGGGCUAAAAACACACAAGUAUCACCCCUAUGAUACUUUUACAAGUAUUCUAGCCCCUCUCUCUCUCUCUCUCUCUCUCUCUCUCUCUCUAUAUAUAUAUAUAUAUAUAUAUAUAUAUAUAUAUAUAUAUAGUUCGGCUACUAUACUAUUAAUAGUAUUAAGCUUUUCAUACUAUCAAGUUAUCUAAUAGUAUUAUACCUAAUAGCAAAAAAUUUGGUAGUAUCAAGUGCUUAAUACUACUGACAGCAUUGUAGCACGACUAUAUACAUAUAAUUGAGUUCUUAUACUUUUAAAAGCAUCCGAGUCAUUGGGUUUGAUAAGUUUUCAGUCAUUGAAUGAAGAUUUGUAGGAUUAGCAUAAUAGUUUUUCCUAAGGAUUGAAUGGAUGGUCGGUGGAAUAGUAUAAUCUAAUGGUGAAAAAUUUAUAAGCACUGAUUGUUUUGUGCUUUUAAUAAUAGAAUCAUUUAACCCCAACAAUUUAUCGAUCAUACCUAGUAUCCAGUCAAAGUCUACCUAGGGAUGUAAAAUGGGUCAUCCGGCCCGGCCCGGCACGGCUACGGGCUUAGGCACAGUACUGUAGAAUUCGUGCCGGGCCAGCCCAACCCAACAUCAUGGGCCGUGCUGGGCCAUUACUACUAAGCCCGUCGGCUCGGCCUUGGGGGUCUUUGGGGAGUUGGUGAGCCCCAAGGCCGGGGGCGGGAGAGAAAAAAUUCUAGAAUGCAACGAGUAUAUUAGUGACGUGGCGUAACAAACCAAUCAAAUGUCUUCUUUUAGAGAUAUAUGUCCCAUCAUGAUUGUAAAAAAAUAUUUUUAUUGUACUUUUGAUUGAAAAGAAGGAAUGUGAUUGACUUGUUAUUGAUGACGUAGUGCAAGUGUGAUAGUGUAGAAUUCCUCGCGGGAGAGGGGGCUGUGCUGGGCCCGGGAACCAUGAAUGUGGCCUGGCAUUGCCCUGCCCAAAAAUUUGGGCCGGGCCAGGUCGACCCGUGGCCCAGUUUGGCCAGAAUGAAUGUGGGCCAUGCCGGUCCCACACGGCCCACAUUACGCCCCCCUAAGUCCACCUAUUUGCUCCACAUAGCUGGCCACCUUUUGCACAAUAAAAAAAUUUUAAAAAAAACCCUAACAACUUCAACCACCCCUUUACUCGGAAGACUCCUUGAGGUCCAAUCAAACACCAACUCUUAAUCUGUGCACCGCACCAUCAACGUACACAAACAGCUCAUCUUGUUAAUAUCAUGCUCUCCUUGAUCACCCUAGAGCACCCUCUACCAACAUGCACCCCAUGUGGAUGGUCUCAAAAACCAAAAACACAUAAUAACUUCAAGCAAACAAACAAACAAACAAAAUGUAAGAAGCCUAAAAAAACAAACACACAGAAUUAAGCCUCAUGAAAGGAGAGAGAUUACGCGGAGAUUACCGCAAACGACGAGUAUAAUAUUGUGCCUAAUGCCCUAGUCCUUUAUAAAAUGAUAGCUUGACCAUUUGUAGAGUGUGAACAACAUUAUUAGUUUAAUACAAAACACCUCCCCGUAAUCAAACUGCCCUUUUCAUUUCACUAGUUUAUAACUUUAUAUAGCUCCAUACGUAUCCCUUACCUUAGUUUUAAUACACUUAUUAUUAUUCUGUGACAGUGAAGAGAGAUCAAAUGACCUCACCAAUGUGGAGACUUGAACAUGAGAAGAGCACAAAUUGCUCCAAAGAUACAUAAAAUUGAAACAAAUAAUUGGACAAAGUCGCGAUUGCGAUUACGUAGAAAUGUUGGUUUCAAAUAGAAGUUAGUAAACAAAAAAAGAAGAGUGAGUUGUGUAUAAGAACAUUCCUCUUUAAGUUGAUAGCUUCAAAUAGAGAAUUAAAGCACACCCUUUUUAGCCCCAGGUAUAAGCUAACAAGCACAUUUAGUUAGAUUGGCAACUUAUUUGAGGCAUUGUGAUGAGAAAUUCCUUUUUGUCAAAACAAUACCUUGAUAUAAACUCAUUAUAGUGUAGAGAGGAAGAUUCUUUAUUAAUUUAUGAGUUGACAUAGAGCAUACAUAGCAAGCUACAUAAAAUAGUAUGGUUUACACAUCAACACCAACCAUUGACCCUGUUAAAUCACCAAUUGCAUUAGGUAUUCACAAUUGUUAGGAUAAAUAAAUAUUUCUAGAAUUCAAUGAUCUCUAGUUGUGUUAGAUAACCAUGAGAAGUAGAAGCAAACUAAUGGAUCACUAAAAUGAUGAUGUGGAUGAGAAAUUGUUCCUUUGUUGGUUAUAGCAAAUUGAUCUACCAUUUGAGAACACAAUGAGAACAAAAUUUCAACUCUAUAUAUAUACACACAAUAAAACAAGCAACAUCAACAAAAUGUUCACACUAAGAUUUAAGCAUGCAUUGUAGCAAAGAGUGGAUAAAACAGAGAUAAGAGAGAGAGAGAGAGUU